Molecule: ribosomal RNA, 119 nt
Filed under: Triticum dicoccoides
Lineage: Eukaryota; Viridiplantae; Streptophyta; Magnoliopsida; Poales; Poaceae
Source: RNAcentral
GGAUGCGAUCAUACUAGCACUAAAGCACCGGAUCCCAUCAGAACUCCGAAGUUAAGCGUGCUUGGGCGAGAGUAGUACUAGGAUGGUUGACCUCCUGGGAAGUCCUCAUGUUGCAUUCC